This 257-nucleotide long non-coding RNA is filed under the name Homo sapiens (human). RNAcentral describes it as "HSALNT0270378". Lineage: Eukaryota; Metazoa; Chordata; Mammalia; Primates; Hominidae. The record is from RNAcentral.
CUGCUGCCUCCCCCGCCUUGGCUGGCUCAUCCCUUGUAGGUCCUGCCGGGCUGGGGCCUGGGGUCUCCGAUGGGCUCUCGGCUGGCUCGUCCCCUGCAGGUCCUGCCGGGCGGGGGCCUGGGGUCUCCGAUGGGCUCUCGGCUGGCUCAUCCCUUGUAGGUCCUGCCGGGCUGGGGCCUGGGGUCUCCGAUGGGCUCUCGGCUGGCUCGUCCCCUGCAGGUCCUGCUGGGCGGGGGCCUGGGGUCUCCGAUGGGCUC